GAGAUGAGUUUGUUGAUAUAUAAUGUCAGUGGCUGCCCAAGGUACGGGCGAACCGAGCGGUCGUCCGGGGCGCCUACAGAAUAAGGAUUUGAUGUGUUGCAUACAAAACAGCAAAUACUUACUCCUUGCACAGAAAAUAUGUCCAGGAAAGAACAGAAAAGAUAAAUGUCAUGGAUUCAAGCAGUACCUAUAAGACUUAAUAUAAUUAAAAAGAAUCAAUCAAUAAAUAAAAUCUGCUUAUUAAAAUAGUAAAUUCUUCAUUUAUGUGCUUGUAAUUUAAUUAUUAAUGGUUCAUUAAAAAAAAAAAAACUGUUA
Molecule: long non-coding RNA, 315 nt
Organism: Rhopalosiphum padi (bird cherry-oat aphid)
Lineage: Eukaryota; Metazoa; Arthropoda; Insecta; Hemiptera; Aphididae
Exons: 3
Source: RefSeq, a predicted model, not a curated record